This 199-nucleotide ribosomal RNA is filed under the name uncultured bacterium. RNAcentral describes it as "partial 16S ribosomal RNA". It matches the Rfam family "Bacterial small subunit ribosomal RNA", at positions 328 to 538 of the family's 1533-position model. The record is from RNAcentral.
ACGCUCGACACCUACGGGAGGCAGCAGUGAGGGAUAUUGGUCAAUGGGGGAAACCCUGAACCAGCAACGCCGCGUGAGGGAUGACGGCCUUCGGUUGUAAACCUCUGUCCUCUGUGAAGAUAAUGACGGUAGCAGAGGAGGAAGCUCCGGCUAACUACGUGCAAGCAGCCGCGGUAAUCUGAGGCGGGCUGGACAAGGC